This is a long non-coding RNA of Lycium ferocissimum, 1085 nucleotides long. RefSeq lists it as uncharacterized. NCBI's taxonomy places the organism in Eukaryota, Viridiplantae, Streptophyta, Magnoliopsida, Solanales, Solanaceae. The transcript is spliced from 3 exons. The record is from RefSeq and is a predicted model, not a curated record.
AUUUCUUUCGAAUAACCAUUUUUAGAGUAUGUGAUUGAAAAAUAGCCCGAUAUUGAAAAGUCUUUAAAAAAAGAUUAAAUUACCCCACGCUUAACAAAGGCAGAGGUAAACUUUUUUAGCACUUAUUUAGGCAUUUCUUGUUCCGAUAACCCUAACCAUUUCCCUUUUCUUUUUUUUUUUUUUGCCCAAAACCACCAUGGCAUGCCAAUUUUGCUCUUCAUUUAAUGGUGAUACGGAAUGCCAAGGACUUGAAUGCGCUUUCCAACGAUAUUUAACUCCCGAAAUGCUUGAGAUGGAGCAUUUUCGUAAUCUGUUCGAGUCUGUUUUUUUGAAGUUUGGAGGGAUCGGUAAUCUUUAGGACCAUCUCAUUUUUUAUGUACCUGAGGUGGAGAGGUCGCUUUUCCUUCAUGCCCGCUUCAUAGAGGCCGAGAGCUUCCGCUCUGAGCCUUGAUUGGGUGCUGUGUACGAAAUUAUUCAGUUCAAAGCUGAAAACAGAGCACUUAAACAGGCAUUGACACGGAACACAAAUGUGUUCAAACAGAUUUCAGAGGCCUCAGAUGGAUUCAUUAGAGUUUUGGCAGCAGUCCAACAAUGGGUAGAAAGAGUUAGGCGUCUUUGGGUUAAUAGGGAGAAUUCGGUUAGAGACGAUUAGCCCAUCAUCAACAAAGUAUAGGAUGCAAACAACUAGAGUAUGUUCUGGAGAGGAUUAUUGGCUCUGUUAACGUACAAUAGUGUUAUUUAGAAGUGUUAAUUAGUAAGCUCUUGAAGUCCCUAUAUUUUUCAUGCCAAUUCGCAAUAUUCUGUAAAUUUUAUAACAUACAGUAGUGCAAUGUAGAGAAGAAAAAAGUAGUGACACUCGUCUGUCUUAUGAUUCUUUGAUGAGCUAUUAGUAUCCUUACACCUUUUAUAGCGUCUUUUUGAGGGGUGAUUUUCAUGAGACAUGAUGAACUCGCUUUGCUAGUUGAUGCGUGUCAUACUAAUUAAUAAUGUCACGCAUAUAGAUAGCUGCAUACAUUUCCGAUGUUUCUUGUAUCCUUGGUAUAGUUAUUGAUUGUGUAUUCUGCAUUACCAGGAUUAAUCUUGAA